GGCUCGCUAGGCAAAUUGGAAAAGCCGCCUGAUUCAGAAUCAGGUGUUUCCGAGUUCGACUCUCGGGCGAGCUAC
Molecule: transfer RNA, 75 nt
Filed under: Mycobacterium phage Bongo
Lineage: Duplodnaviria; Heunggongvirae; Uroviricota; Caudoviricetes; Vilmaviridae
Also listed under: 9 other names
Description: tRNA-Leu
Rfam family: tRNA
About the family: Transfer RNA (tRNA) molecules are approximately 80 nucleotides in length. Their secondary structure includes four short double-helical elements and three loops (D, anti-codon, and T loops). Further hydrogen bonds mediate the characteristic L-shaped molecular structure. tRNAs have two regions of fundamental functional importance: the anti-codon, which is responsible for specific mRNA codon recognition, and the 3' end, to which the tRNAs corresponding amino acid is attached (by aminoacyl-tRNA synthetases). tRNAs cope with the degeneracy of the genetic code in two manners: having more than one tRNA (with a specific anti-codon) for a particular amino acid; and 'wobble' base-pairing, i.e. permitting non-standard base-pairing at the 3rd anti-codon position.
Source: RNAcentral